CUAACUUUGCCGCGCAUUGGUUCAUUUUUCCCAAGCAUUCAGAAAAAUGAUUAAAAGGGAAUCAGGUGAGAAUCCUGAACAGUCCCGUUGCUGUAUGUUUCAUAAAAGCGUGAUGAACACUACCUCAUGCCACUGAGAGGCUUCUAAGCCGAUUGGGAAGGCGUUUAUUCACGGAAACGAGUCAGAAGACCUGCCAUGCAACAUGUUCAAUA
This 212-nucleotide non-coding RNA is filed under the name Bacteroides sp. The record is from RNAcentral. Lineage: Bacteria; Pseudomonadati; Bacteroidota; Bacteroidia; Bacteroidales; Bacteroidaceae.